AUACGGAGGGUGCAAGCGUUAAUCGGAAUUACUGGGCGUAAAGCGCACGCAGGCGGUCUGUCAAGUCGGAUGUGAAAUCCCCGGGCUCAACCUGGGAACUGCAUCCGAAACUGGCAGGCUAGAGUCUUGUAGAGGGGGGUAGAAUUCCAGGUGUAGCGGUGAAAUGCGUAGAGAUCUGGAGGAAUACCGGUGGCGAAGGCGGCCCCCUGGACAAAGACUGACGCUCAGGUGCGAAAGCGUGGGGAGCAAACAGGAUUAGAUACCCUGGUAGUCCACGCCGUAAACGAUGUCGACUGGGAGGUUGUGCCCUUGAGGCGUGGCUUCCGGAGCUAACGCGUUAAGUCGACCGCCUGGGGAGUACGGUCGCAAGACUGAA
RNAcentral lists this ribosomal RNA (376 nucleotides) under uncultured bacterium. RNAcentral's name for it is "bacterial SSU rRNA". It matches the Rfam family "Bacterial small subunit ribosomal RNA", at positions 523 to 898 of the family's 1533-position model. The record is from RNAcentral.